RNAcentral lists this ribosomal RNA (2046 nucleotides) under Escherichia coli. RNAcentral describes it as "partial 23S ribosomal RNA". It matches the Rfam family "Bacterial large subunit ribosomal RNA", at positions 1 to 2044 of the family's 2925-position model. Lineage: Bacteria; Pseudomonadati; Pseudomonadota; Gammaproteobacteria; Enterobacterales; Enterobacteriaceae. The record is from RNAcentral.
AGAUUAAGUUAUUAAGGGCGCACGGUGGAUGCCUUGGCACUAGAAGCCGAUGAAGGACGUUACUAACGACGAUAUGCUUUGGGGAGCUGUAAGUAAGCUUUGAUCCAGAGAUUUCCGAAUGGGGAAACCCAGCAUGAGUUAUGUCAUGUUAUCGAUAUGUGAAUACAUAGCAUAUCAGAAGGCACACCCGGAGAACUGAAACAUCUUAGUACCCGGAGGAAGAGAAAGAAAAUUCGAUUCCCUUAGUAGCGGCGAGCGAAACGGGAAGAGCCCAAACCAACAAGCUUGCUUGUUGGGGUUGUAGGACACUCUAUACGGAGUUACAAAGGACGACAUUAGACGAAUCAUCUGGAAAGAUGAAUCAAAGAAGGUAAUAAUCCUGUAGUCGAAAAUGUUGUCUCUCUUGAGUGGAUCCUGAGUACGACGGAGCACGUGAAAUUCCGUCGGAAUCUGGGAGGACCAUCUCCUAAGGCUAAAUACUCUCUAGUGACCGAUAGUGAACCAGUACCGUGAGGGAAAGGUGAAAAGCACCCCGGAAGGGGAGUGAAAUAGAACCUGAAACCGUGUGCUUACAAGUAGUCAGAGCCCGUUAAUGGGUGAUGGCGUGCCUUUUGUAGAAUGAACCGGCGAGUUACGAUUUGAUGCAAGGUUAAGCAGUAAAUGUGGAGCCGUAGCGAAAGCGAGUCUGAAUAGGGCGUUUAGUAUUUGGUCGUAGACCCGAAACCAGGUGAUCUACCCUUGGUCAGGUUGAAGUUCAGGUAACACUGAAUGGAGGACCGAACCGACUUACGUUGAAAAGUGAGCGGAUGAACUGAGGGUAGCGGAGAAAUUCCAAUCGAACCUGGAGAUAGCUGGUUCUCUCCGAAAUAGCUUUAGGGCUAGCCUCAAGUGAUGAUUAUUGGAGGUAGAGCACUGUUUGGACGAGGGGCCCCUCUCGGGUUACCGAAUUCAGACAAACUCCGAAUGCCAAUUAAUUUAACUUGGGAGUCAGAACAUGGGUGAUAAGGUCCGUGUUCGAAAGGGAAACAGCCCAGACCACCAGCUAAGGUCCCAAAAUAUAUGUUAAGUGGAAAAGGAUGUGGCGUUGCCCAGACAACUAGGAUGUUGGCUUAGAAGCAGCCAUCAUUUAAAGAGUGCGUAAUAGCUCACUAGUCGAGUGACACUGCGCCGAAAAUGUACCGGGGCUAAACAUAUUACCGAAGCUGUGGAUUGUCCUUUGGACAAUGGUAGGAGAGCGUUCUAAGGGCGUUGAAGCAUGAUCGUAAGGACAUGUGGAGCGCUUAGAAGUGAGAAUGCCGGUGUGAGUAGCGAAAGACGGGUGAGAAUCCCGUCCACCGAUUGACUAAGGUUUCCAGAGGAAGGCUCGUCCGCUCUGGGUUAGUCGGGUCCUAAGCUGAGGCCGACAGGCGUAGGCGAUGGAUAACAGGUUGAUAUUCCUGUACCACCUAUAAUCGUUUUAAUCGAUGGGGGGACGCAGUAGGAUAGGCGAAGCGUGCGAUUGGAUUGCACGUCUAAGCAGUAAGGCUGAGUAUUAGGCAAAUCCGGUACUCGUUAAGGCUGAGCUGUGAUGGGGAGAAGACAUUGUGUCUUCGAGUCGUUGAUUUCACACUGCCGAGAAAAGCCUCUAGAUAGAAAAUAGGUGCCCGUACCGCAAACCGACACAGGUAGUCAAGAUGAGAAUUCUAAGGUGAGCGAGCGAACUCUCGUUAAGGAACUCGGCAAAAUGACCCCGUAACUUCGGGAGAAGGGGUGCUCUUUAGGGUUAACGCCCAGAAGAGCCGCAGUGAAUAGGCCCAAGCGACUGUUUAUCAAAAACACAGGUCUCUGCUAAACCGUAAGGUGAUGUAUAGGGGCUGACGCCUGCCCGGUGCUGGAAGGUUAAGAGGAGUGGUUAGCUUCUGCGAAGCUACGAAUCGAAGCCCCAGUAAACGGCGGCCGUAACUAUAACGGUCCUAAGGUAGCGAAAUUCCUUGUCGGGUAAGUUCCGACCCGCACGAAUGGCGUAAUGAUGGCCAGGCUGUCUGCACCCGAGACUCAGUGAAAUUG